GGGCGGGUGGCGAAAUGGUAGCCGCGACGGACUUAAAAUCCGUUGUCCAAAAGACGUGAGGGUUCGAAUCCCUCUCCGCCCACCA
Molecule: transfer RNA, 85 nt
Filed under: Candidatus Berkelbacteria bacterium
Lineage: Bacteria; Candidatus Berkelbacteria
Description: tRNA-Leu
Rfam family: tRNA
About the family: Transfer RNA (tRNA) molecules are approximately 80 nucleotides in length. Their secondary structure includes four short double-helical elements and three loops (D, anti-codon, and T loops).
Source: RNAcentral